AGCGGGGAGCGAUCCCCCCCCCCAGCCCGGCUUUGACCGUGGUGUCAGGGGGAGGGAGAGGUCAGAGGCGUGAGAUGGGCCCUAGAGUUUGCAUCGCUCAGCUUCCCAGGGAUGGGACCAGAGCAGAUCCGCUGUGCUCUGUGCUGGGCCCAGGAUGUGUGUGCACCCGGUGGACCUGAGCCCACCCCAGCCUGCAGCCACGCCUGGCGAAGCCCAGCCCACUCAGCUGGCCACAGUGGGCCCCGCCCCUGGGGGCCUGAGAACAGUGCUUAUCGCCAGCCCCUGAGUCGGACAGGCUACAUCUGACAACACGCGGGGCUUUCAGAUUCUGCUCUGCAGAACCUGAGGGCAGUAGUGUGUGUGUGUGUGUGUGUGUGUGUGUGUGUGUGUGUGUUAAUUCCUGUCCUCAAACCCAUUCAUUCAUGCAUUUAUUUAUUAAUUCACUUAUUUAUUCACCUCAUCUACUUGAGCCCUUAGAUGUUCAGGGCCAUCCUGGGUGUGGAGGAUCUGGAAUUUAAUGAGGCAGCCCUGGGCCCUCCCUCCGUGGUCAGGUCAUUUUGGUUGAGGAGGCUGCCAAGAGACAGGUAAAUGAACACACAAAGGAGAGACACACAGGUUGGGUGUGUUGUGAUUGAGAUGAAACAAGAAAGUGAUUAGAGUAGGGUGGGUGGUCACUUCAAAGUGGUGGUCAAGGAGGGCCUCUCUAAAAAGGGGACACUUAAGAUGAGCCCCCAAAAAGAAACAGCCAAAGGAAUUGCCCUAAGAAGUAGGGACAGCAGGUGCAAAGGCCCUGUGGCACGGGAAGGCCUGGUUAAGUCCAUGGCAGAAAGGAGGCUGGUCUGGCCUCCUUUCC
Molecule: long non-coding RNA, 853 nt
Filed under: Marmota monax (woodchuck)
Lineage: Eukaryota; Metazoa; Chordata; Mammalia; Rodentia; Sciuridae
Source: RNAcentral